Hyaena hyaena (striped hyena) is the source of this 303-nucleotide long non-coding RNA. RefSeq lists it as uncharacterized. The transcript is spliced from 2 exons. The record is from RefSeq and is a predicted model, not a curated record. NCBI's taxonomy places the organism in Eukaryota, Metazoa, Chordata, Mammalia, Carnivora, Hyaenidae.
CUCUGGAGGCGCACCCUCACGGCGGAUGAGGUCUCAGCCUCCAAAUUUGAGCAAGGUGGAAGCAGAUAAUUCAGAGCCCCAGGAAAUAUGGAGGCACAAGAUUAACAAGGCUGUUGUGUGAGUCACCAGAUGGAGGACAGAUGCCAACCAAGCAGGACACCUGUGGCAAGAAACCAACUAUUGUAUGAAGUCACUGAAAUCAAGGGAGUUCUUUGUUCCGGUAGCUGGCAUUACACUCACUGAUACUCUGACCUUUCCUCUCUGGGCCUCUGAUAUCAAUAAACCUUGAGCACCCCCCUGUCA